This is a long non-coding RNA of Canis lupus familiaris (dog), 427 nucleotides long. RefSeq lists it as uncharacterized. The record is from RefSeq and is a predicted model, not a curated record. Lineage: Eukaryota; Metazoa; Chordata; Mammalia; Carnivora; Canidae. The transcript is spliced from 3 exons.
CCCUUUUCUCAGAAAGUCACAUCAAGACCCCAGCUUCGCAAGGGACUCACCUUUUAGACUUUUUUUUACCUUAAUUCCGAUUACAGUUAUACAUCACAGACUGGUGCUAUAGUUCUCAGCAUGACCAAAAAUGGGAAGGUUGGAAUGAAUCAGACAUUGAAGGGGAAUUCAGGACACUGGCCUACCCUAGCAACCCCAUUCUUCCUCUGCCCAAGUACGUGCUCGCAAGAAGGAAGACCGUGUUGGGCAUUCAGUAUUCUAGAGGUCCAAUCACCACAAACUUUUAUCUAUCUUAGCCAGUGCUGGGCUGCUAAAUGGUAAAUGGAGUAAAAAAAAGAGCUUUGAUCUGUAGGUUUUGCCAAUUUCCAUGGUGUAAAUAUUCUCCCUGUGGCCAAUUUCAAGCUGCCGAUGUGAUAUUACUAAACAA